This 564-nucleotide long non-coding RNA is filed under the name Calidris pugnax (ruff). RNAcentral's name for it is "lncRNA (ENSCPUG00000002880.1)". Lineage: Eukaryota; Metazoa; Chordata; Aves; Charadriiformes; Scolopacidae. The record is from RNAcentral.
AGCUGAAAAUUGGAUGAUGAUGAAGGGAAAAAUAACUUGAAGGCAAGGCAAGAAGGACCAGAAGAACAGGGCAAGCACGGUAGAGAAGGAGAGACCCACCGCAGCGGGGAAAGCCAAGGACAAGAAAUUAAGGCGUAGAGCUACCUACAGAAAAGUCAGCAUGCUGGGACAUGAAAGUACCGAAGAUGGCAAGGUUAUCCAGUAUCAUGGUAACAACUAAAGGUGAGAGUGCCGGAGAAGCCAGGCUGAACAUGUGACAUUCCUGGUUUGAUGUGACUGGCAACACGGACCAUAUCACCCAGUCCAUCUCCUUUCAUGACUUUUCUUGGCUACGUCUCCACAGACAGCCUAGAAACAGAGAGGAAGGCAAGGAAACGGCAUCGUCAGAAUGACCUGGGAGGGAUUAGGAGGCGAUUAUUGAUGAAGGCAUCCACGACACCAGGACAGGUCUGUGGAGAAUUUCCCAAGGUGCUCCAAGGCUACCUUCUCUGUCCGAAGAAGUGGAUGCAGCUGAACAACUGCUCCUCUACUUCUGCUGCCUCAGUUUUUCAGACACCCAACUGA